This 218-nucleotide ribosomal RNA is filed under the name Campeiostachys nutans. RNAcentral describes it as "Elymus nutans partial small subunit ribosomal RNA". The stretch from base 52 to 218 matches the Rfam family "Eukaryotic small subunit ribosomal RNA", at positions 697 to 864 of the family's 1831-position model. Lineage: Eukaryota; Viridiplantae; Streptophyta; Magnoliopsida; Poales; Poaceae. The record is from RNAcentral.
GAGUUUGUCGCUUGGUCGGGCUUCACUGUCCGCACUGGCCUGAUGGAUCCCUACCUUCUGAAUAACCAGCAUGCUAUUAAGUUAGUGCGUUGGGGAAGCAGAGCUAUUACCUUGAAAAAAUUAGUGUGCUUAAAGCAGGCUUAUGCUUGAAUAGAUUAGCAUGGAAUAAUAAAAUAGGACGGCAUGGUUCUAUUUUGUUGGUUUUCAGGACCAAAGUA